AUGGCUAAUCAUCUUCUACAUGCUCAGCUCCAUCGUCUUCUUCGCAACAGCGCCGCAGAAAUCAAUUUUCAAGCGACGUUCCCGCUUCAACUUCUUCCGAUGCAUCACUACCUUGUUGUUAUUGCAGAAAAUAUGAGAAGGGAUAGAGACGAGAUAAGAUUGAAGAUGAAGAUUGUUGGAACAAUUGCAGAGAGAUGGAGAGGUGAUUAUGAUGACGUGAAGGAAAUUGCAGAUAAAAUUUAA
Molecule: non-coding RNA, 243 nt
Organism: Vicia faba (fava bean)
Lineage: Eukaryota; Viridiplantae; Streptophyta; Magnoliopsida; Fabales; Fabaceae
Source: the annotation of a GenBank genome assembly